This 484-nucleotide ribosomal RNA is filed under the name uncultured bacterium. RNAcentral describes it as "partial 16S ribosomal RNA". It matches the Rfam family "Bacterial small subunit ribosomal RNA", at positions 30 to 507 of the family's 1533-position model. The record is from RNAcentral.
AUUGAACGCUGGCGGCAGGCCUAACACAUGCAAGUCGAGCGGAUGAAGGGAGCUUGCUCCUGGAUUCAGCGGCGGACGGGUGAGUAAUGCCUAGGAAUCUGCCUGGUAGUGGGGGAUAACGUCCGUAAACGGGCGCUAAUACCGCAUACGUCCUGAUGUAGAAAGUGGGGGAUCUUCGGACCUCACGCUAUCAGAUGAGCCUAGGUCGGAUUAGCUAGUUGGUGUGGUAAAGGCCUACCAAGGCGACGAUCCGUAACUGGUCUGAGAGGAUGAUCAGUCACACUGGAACUGAGACACGGUCCAGACUCCUACGGGAGGCAGCAGUGGGGAAUAUUGGACAAUGGGCGAAAGCCUGAUCCAGCCAUGCCGCGUGUGUGAAGAAGGUCCUCGGAUUGUAAAGCACUUUAAGUUGGGAGGAAGAGAAGUAAGUUAAUACCUGGCUGUUUUGACGUUACCAAAAGAAUAAGCACCGGCUAACUUCGUG